UAGUAGGGCACCUGCGGGCCGGGGCUGCCUCCCGACGCGUGUGCAGGCUCUUCUCCCUCCGUCGAUUCGGAGGAGCCGGAGCGACCUCGGCCUCCAGCGUCUCCGGUGAACUGACGCGGAGGUGGCGGCCGGGAUGGUGGUGCUGGGCUUACUGCAAGCGGGCAGGUCGGUGCUGGGGCAGGCUAUGGAGCAAGUAACAGGCGGCAACCUCCUAUCCAUGCUACUCAUUACCUGCGCCUUCACGCUCAGCCUGGUCUACCUGCUCCGCCUCGCCGUCGGCCACCUGGCCCCACUGCCGGCUGGGGCGAAAAGUCCACCAUACAUUUUCUCUCCAGUUCCAUUCCUUGGACAUGCUAUAGCAUUUGGGAAAAGUCCAGUUGAAUUCCUAGAAAAUGCAUAUGAGAAGUAUGGACCUGUAUUUAGUUUUACCAUGGUGGGCAAGACGUUUACCUACCUUCUGGGGAGUGAUGCUGCUGCACUGCUUUUUAAUAGUAAAAAUGAAGACUUGAAUGCAGAAGAUGUCUACAGUCGUCUGACAACACCUGUGUUUGGGAAGGGAGUUGCCUAUGAUGUGCCUAAUCCAGUUUUCUUAGAGCAGAAGAAAAUGUUAAAAAGUGGUCUUAACAUAGCCCACUUCAGACAGCAUGUUUCUAUAAUUGAAAAAGAAACAAAGGAGUACUUUCAAAGUUGGGGAGAAAGUGGAGAAAAAAAUUUGUUUGAAGCUCUUUCUGAGCUCAUAAUUUUAACAGCUAGCCAUUGUUUACAUGGAAAGGAAAUCAGAAGUCAACUCAAUGAGAAGGUGGCACAACUGUAUGCAGAUUUGGAUGGAGGUUUUAGCCACGCAGCCUGGCUCUUGCCAGGCUGGCUCCCUUUGCCUAGUUUCAGACGCAGGGACAGAGCUCAUCGAGAGAUCAAGAAUAUUUUCUAUAAGGCAAUCCAGAAACGCAGAGAAUCAGGAGAAAAAAUUGAUGACAUUCUCCAAACUUUACUAGAUUCUACUUACAAGGAUGGGCAUCCUUUGACAGAUGAUGAAGUAGCAGGCAUGCUUAUUGGACUGCUCUUGGCGGGGCAGCAUACAUCCUCAACUACCAGCGCCUGGAUGGGCUUCUUUUUGGCCAGAGACACAACACUUCAAGAAAAAUGUUACUUAGAACAGAAAACAGUCUGUGGAGAGAAUCUGCCUCCCUUAACUUAUGACCAGCUCAAGGACCUAAAUUUUCUUGAUCGCUGCAUAAAAGAAACAUUAAGACUUCGACCUCCUAUAAUGACCAUGAUGAGAAUGGCCAAAACUCCUCAGACUGUGGCAGGGUAUACCAUUCCUCCAGGACAUCAGGUGUGUGUUUCUCCCACUGUCAAUCAAAGACUUAAAGACUCAUGGGUAGAACGCCUGGACUUUAAUCCUGAUCGCUACUUACAGGACAAUCCAGCAUCAGGAGAGAAGUUUGCUUAUGUGCCAUUUGGAGCUGGGACAUUCCUGCAAACAUCUGUAGGAGUGUAAUCUUUUUGCAGGUUGGAAAAAAUAUUUCAUUUGUACUAAAGGAAAUAGCUCUGUGAAUCCUUAUAAUGUUCUGUUACCUUCUAACCUAUCUAGUUUUAUCAGUUCUAAUCUUUAUAGUCCACCCUGUUUUCCCUUAUCAUAGUAUUUAAAGCUCUUUGUGAAUUCUGUUUUAAAGAACCAUUGGAGUUAGCACACCAUUUGGGCAAUUAUUUCAAGCUAAAUAUGAUGAGACAGUCAGCAUUUCAGAAAAGAGCAAUGGCAUGGAAGCUUUUCUGGAUUGUUAAUGAACUUUUUGGUUCUCUGCCUGUAUAUCCUGAUGAUAAGAUGGUCUUUAAAUUUGGGCAGGUUGUGCAUAGGUAUGCAAACCUCUGCAUUUCAAUUAAGAUCCUAAAAUAACACAGGCAGACUCUCAUUCCUCCAAUAAUUUCUCCAUUCACUGAUACUUUGUACAGAUUAAACUAUAUUCUAUGAAUUAUUUGUUUUUCCAAAGAGAUCAUUUAAGUGACAUGACAUUUUUGUCAUUGGUCACACCUUUUCCAUACAUAAACGAAAGUGUAAAGUCCUUUGGGAACUUCAGAUCUUAAUAACUAUUUAGUUAAGAAAUUCAGUAACAGUAUAUGACAUGAAUAUCAAUAAAAACAGUCAUAGCUUGUUCAAGUAGUUGGAAGGGGCAUUAGUUCUCCAGCCCCAAUUCUGCCCCAUUUCUAAACUGACAAUUAUCGGGCUUUUAUCUGGCGUUCGUGCAGACCCCAUUGGUUAACAGCUCAGUCCCACAAGACUGUCCCUCACCACUUUAGAUGCCAAUUACAAGUCCAGUUGUUACCUGUUUUUCUGACCAACUGGCUAUAAAUUCGAGGUUCUCUAGAUCCCCUCCUUGGGGUUCCAUAAUUUGUUAGAAUGGCUCACACAACUUAGAAAAGUUUAUUUACUAGAAUACUGGUUUACUAUAAAAGUAUACAACUCAGGAAUAGCGUGAUUGAAGAGAAGCAUAGAGCAAAGUAGAAGGAAGGGGUACAUAGCUGCCAAGCCCUCUGUGGGUAUGCCACCCUCCCAGCACCUCCACAUGUUUACUAUCCUCGAAGCUCUCUGAACACUGUCCCCUGUCCUGUCCCUUCUCUGUACUUCUGUAGGGAUUUUGUGGAGGCUUCAUUACAUAGGCACGAUUGAUUAAAUCACUGGUCAUUGGUGAUUAAUUCAACCUCCAGACCCUCUCUCUCCUGGAAGCUGGGGGGUAUUGCUGAAAGUUCCAACCCUCUAAUCACGUGGUUGGUUCCCCUGGCAGUCACCUCUCAUUAGCAAACUCAACUGUGGUUGAAAGGGGCUUGUUAUGAAUAACAAAAGGCUCUUUUCCUCUUUGACCUUUAUUGCUCUUUUCACUUAAGAAAUUCCACAGGUUUGAGGAGCUCUGUGCCAAGAUGGAAGACUAAAUACGUAUUUCUUAUUGCAAACCACAUUAUCACAGAUGCCAUACCUUAGUAUUGAAGUCAGAUUUGAAGUCAGUUUAAGUCCUCCAACUUGGUUCAUCUUGUUAAGGAUCGCUUUGGAUAUCCUAGUCCUUUUCAUUUCUGUAUGCAUUUUAUAAUCAGCUUGUCAGUUUUUACAUGUAUAUGAUCUUUUAAAUUUUGAUGUGUUGCUAUUUUUGGUUUAUUAAAUUUUUUUCUUCCAUUAUCAUUUGUAAUGGCAUUUCAAGUUUUGAUUGGAAGCCCCAUAUUAACUUUUGACUAUGGCUCUUUUGGGAUAGAAGUUAAGAAUAUUCUAGUAUAUUUCCAAACUAGAUUAUCAUCGUGUUUCAAACCUUACUUAUUUUUAACCUAGAUAGAUGUUAGGUUUCAAAAAAACAAUCGGAAAAAUGAUUGUAUAAUUACCCAUGUGCUGUUUCCCCUAGUAACAGACAUUAAAAAUCUCUUGGGAUUUUUGUUAUUUACAUUCUUGUGAAAAGAUUGUCAUCUUUUUACUAUAGUAUCUGUAUGUCUCCUAUUCACCUUAAGUGUAGAUAAACAAAUUUUAUCA
This is a non-coding RNA of Kogia breviceps (pygmy sperm whale), 3508 nucleotides long. Lineage: Eukaryota; Metazoa; Chordata; Mammalia; Artiodactyla; Physeteridae. The record is from RefSeq and is a predicted model, not a curated record.